UACGUAGGGCGCAAGCGUUAUCCGGAAUUAUUGGGCGUAAAGAGCUCGUAGGCGGUUUGUCGCGUCUGCCGUGAAAGUCCGGGGCUCAACUCCGGAUCUGCGGUGGGUACGGGCAGACUAGAGUGAUGUAGGGGAGACUGGAAUUCCUGGUGUAGCGGUGAAAUGCGCAGAUAUCAGGAGGAACACCGGUGGCGAAGGCGGGACUCUGGGCCGAUACUGACGCUGAUGCGCGAAAGCCAGGGGAGCGAACGGG
This 253-nucleotide ribosomal RNA is filed under the name uncultured bacterium. RNAcentral's name for it is "partial 16S ribosomal RNA". It matches the Rfam family "Bacterial small subunit ribosomal RNA", at positions 524 to 776 of the family's 1533-position model. The record is from RNAcentral.